Molecule: ribosomal RNA, 395 nt
Filed under: uncultured bacterium
Lineage: Bacteria
Description: partial 16S ribosomal RNA
Rfam family: Bacterial small subunit ribosomal RNA
Source: RNAcentral
AUACGUAGGGUGCAAGCGUUAAUCGGAAUUACUGGGCGUAAAGCGUGCGCAGGCGGUUUUGUAAGACAGUGGUGAAAUCCCCGGGCUCAACCUGGGGACUGCCAUUGUGACUGCAAGGCUGGAGUGCGGCAGAGGGGGAUGGAAUUCCGCGUGUAGCAGUGAAAUGCGUAGAUAUGCGGAGGAACACCGAUGGCGAAGGCAAUCCCCUGGGCCUGCACUGACGCUCAUGCACGAAAGCGUGGGGAGCAAACAGGAUUAGAUACCCUGGUAGUCCACGCCCUAAACGAUGUCAACUGGUUGUUGGGGAUUUAUUUUCUCAGUAACGAAGCUAACGCGUGAAGUUGACCGCCUGGGGAGUACGGCCGCAAGGUUAAAACUCAAAUGAAUUGACGGGG